Molecule: ribosomal RNA, 387 nt
Filed under: Amatitlania nigrofasciata
Lineage: Eukaryota; Metazoa; Chordata; Actinopteri; Cichliformes; Cichlidae
Description: partial 12S ribosomal RNA
Rfam family: Bacterial small subunit ribosomal RNA
Source: RNAcentral
GCCCAGCCCUAAACUUUGAUGACACAUUACACCCGUCAUCCGCCAGGGAACUACGAGCAUUAGCUUAAAACCCAAAGGACUUGGCGGUGCUUUAGACCCACCUAGAGGAGCCUGUUCUAGAACCGAUAAUCCCCGUUAAACCUCACCCUCUCUUGUCAUCCCCGCCUAUAUACCGCCGUCGUCAGCUUACCCUGUGAAGGCACCACAGUAAGCAAAACUAGUAAAACCCAAAACGCCAGGUCGAGGUGUAGCAUAUGAGAGGGAAAGAAAUGGGCUACAUUCCCUACUUUAGGGAACACGGAUAAUAUAAUGAAAAGUAUAUUAGAAGGAGGAUUUAGCAGUAAGCAAAAAAUAGAGCGUUUUGCUGAAACUGGCCCUGAAGCGCGC